CCUACGGGUGGCUGCAGUCGAGAAUCAUUCACAAUGGGGGAAACCCUGAUGGUGCGACGCCGCGUGGGGGAAUGAAGGUCUUCGGAUUGUAAACCCCUGUCAUGUGGGAGCAAAUUAAAAAGAUAGUACCCCAAGAGGAAGAGACGGCUAACUCUGUGCCAGCAGCCGCGGGAAUACAGAGGUCUCAAGCGUUGUUCGGAAUCACUGGGCGUAAAGCGUGCGUAGGCGGUUUCGUAAGGCGUGUGUGAAAGGCGCGGGCUCAACCCGCGGACCGCACAUGAUACUGCGAGACUAGAGUAAUGGAGGGGGAACCGGAAUGCUCGGUGUAGCAGUGAAAUGCGUAGAUAUCGAGAGGAACACUCGUGGCGAAGGCGGGUUCCUGGACAUUAACUGACGCUGAGGCACGAAGGCCAGGGGAGCGAAAGGGAUUAGAUACCCUGGUAGUC
RNAcentral lists this ribosomal RNA (446 nucleotides) under uncultured bacterium. Its description in RNAcentral is "partial 16S ribosomal RNA". It matches the Rfam family "Bacterial small subunit ribosomal RNA", at positions 338 to 795 of the family's 1533-position model. The record is from RNAcentral.